RNAcentral lists this ribosomal RNA (263 nucleotides) under uncultured bacterium. Its description in RNAcentral is "partial 16S ribosomal RNA". It matches the Rfam family "Bacterial small subunit ribosomal RNA", at positions 793 to 1055 of the family's 1533-position model. The record is from RNAcentral.
GUCCACGCUGUAAACGAUGAAUACUAGAUGUUGGUCGUAAAGAUCAGUGUCGCAGCUAACGCAUUAAGUAUUCCGCCUGGGGAGUACGGUCGCAAGAUUAAAACUCAAAGGAAUUGACGGGGACCCGCACAAGCGGUGGAGUAUGUGGUUUAAUUCGAAGCAACGCGCAGAACCUUACCAGCUCUUGACAUGGGACGUAUAGGGAUCAGAGAUGAUUUCUUUCACUUCGGGUGGCGUCCGCACAGGUGCUGCAUGGCUGUCGU